This 1024-nucleotide long non-coding RNA is filed under the name Vigna radiata. RNAcentral describes it as "long non-coding RNA (VRAD_LNC000807)". Lineage: Eukaryota; Viridiplantae; Streptophyta; Magnoliopsida; Fabales; Fabaceae. The record is from RNAcentral.
CCGCCAGCAAAGCCAAACGACGCCGCUGACUCCCACCUGUUUCUGUGCUUUGAUUGUAUUUGGGUUUGGUAGUAUUGAUGAAGAUGGUGGAAUGGUGAUGGUAGAAGUUGUGUAUGGCUCUGUCUUUUGUUAUUUUCUGGAAAUGAUGAUGAUAAAAAAAAAUGGUUAGGUGUUGUAGAUGUCUGAUGAGAUAAUUGNUGAGAGGUUUCUGUUGAGUGAAUCAGUGAUUAGAGAAGCCGUGUCUGUCGAGUGAUAGAGAGAAAAAAAUGAGUGUAUCUGGUGAGUCUGAUUGUUACGAGUGUGGUGAUGGGAGAAUCCAGAUUGUGCGUGAUGGGUGAUUGUGGCAAGGAUCAUGAUUCGGUUGGUUUGAUUUCCUUUUUUCUUUUUUUUCUUUGUAUUUCUGUGAUGGAAGAAAUUAAUCAAGGGUGGAUGAUGAUAAUGGGAUCAAGGGCGAGAGAGAUGAUGGAUUCUGUUAUNUGUUACCGUGUUUAAGCAUGAUGUAUGUGGUGAGCCAAAAAGGGUAGUGUCGUGUGUGUGAACAAUUCUCUUGGGUCAACAAUUCUGUUGUGUCAUAAGGUGUAUCGAGGGUGAUGGCAUUUUUGAGUGAUCGUGCUGUUGGAGGUGGUUAUGAGUUAAGCAUAGCAGAGUGGUGGAAAAAUGAUGUGUAAUCUGUUAUUCCCAUUUUUUUUACAACAAACCUUUUUUUUCUUUUUUUUUCUUUUACGUUCUUUUUUCAUUUUUUUUCUUAUAUAAAAUCAAAACUAAAAUAAUCAAUAAAAAUAAAAUCAAAAAGGAAAAAGGAAAAUCAUAAUGGAAAAAGUAAAGUAAAAUAAAAAUAAAAAAAAACAACAAAAAGAAAUUAACAUAAAAGAGAAUAAUAGAAAGUAAAAUAAAAACUAUAAAUUAAAAUGCAAAUAAAAUGAAAAAUAAAAAAUAAAAAAAAUGAAAAUAAAAUAAGACAAAAACAAAAAUUAAGUCCUAUUAUUCAAUCACCCGGACGAAAUUGGGUGUUGACAUAGUUUUC